UAGGGAAUCUUCCGCAAUGGACGAAAGUCUGACGGAGCAACGCCGCGUGAGUGAAGAAGGAUUUCGGUUCGUAAAACUCUGUUGUUAGGGAAGAAAAAAUGUAUAGUAACUAUAUACAAAAGAGACGGUACCUAACCAGAAAGCCACGGCUAACUACGUGCCAGCAGCCGCGGUAAUACGUAGGUGGCAAGCGUUGUCCGGAAUUAUUGGGCAUAAAGCGCGCGCAGGUGGUUUAGAAAGUCUGAUGUGAAAGCCCACGGCUCAACCGUGGAGGGUCAUUGGAAACUAAUAAACUUGAGUGCAGGAGAGAAAAGUGGAAUUCCUAGUGUAGCGGUGAAAUGCGUAGAGAUUAGGAGGAACACCGGUGGCGAAAGCGGCUUUUUGGCCUGCAACUGACACUGAGGCGCGAAAGCGUGGGGAGCAAACAGG
RNAcentral lists this ribosomal RNA (429 nucleotides) under Verrucomicrobiota bacterium. Its description in RNAcentral is "Verrucomicrobia bacterium partial 16S ribosomal RNA". It matches the Rfam family "Bacterial small subunit ribosomal RNA", at positions 355 to 776 of the family's 1533-position model. Lineage: Bacteria; Pseudomonadati; Verrucomicrobiota. The record is from RNAcentral.